RNAcentral lists this ribosomal RNA (260 nucleotides) under uncultured bacterium. RNAcentral's name for it is "partial 16S ribosomal RNA". It matches the Rfam family "Bacterial small subunit ribosomal RNA", at positions 96 to 353 of the family's 1533-position model. The record is from RNAcentral.
CGGCGGACGGGUGAGUAACGCGUGGGUGACCUGCCCCAUACCGGGGGAGUAACAGCUGGAAACGGCUGCUAAUACCGCAUAAGCGCACAGAGCUGCAUGGCUCGGUGUGAAAAACUCCGGUGGUAUGGGAUGGGCCCGCGUCUGAUUAGGCAGUUGGCGGGGUAACGGCCCACCAAACCGACGAUCAGUAGCCGGCCUGAGAGGGCGACCGGCCACAUUGGGACUGAGACACGGCCCAAACUCCUACGGGAGGCAGCAUG